CCUACGGGUGGCUGCAGUGGGGAAUAUUGGGCAAUGGGGGAAACCCUGACCCAGCAACGCCGCGUGAGGGAAGAAGGUUUUCGGAUUGUAAACCUCUGUUCUUGGUGAAGAGAAGAAGACGGUAGCCAAGGAGGAAGCCCCGGCUAACUACGUGCCAGCAGCCGCGGUAAUACGUAGGGGGCGAGCGUUGUCCGGAAUUAUUGGGCGUAAAGGGCGCGUAGGCGGCCCUGCAAGUCAGUAGUGGAAGUCCAUUUUUCAAGGGUGGAAGUGCUAUUGAAACUGCGGGGCUUGAGUAUGGGAGAGGUCAUCGGAAUUCCCGGUGUAGCGGUGAAAUGCGUAGAGAUCGGGAGGAACACCAGUGGCGAAGGCGGGUGACUGGACCAUAACUGACGCUGAGGCGCGAAAGCGUGGGGAGCAAACAGGAUUAGAUACCCCGGUAGUC
RNAcentral lists this ribosomal RNA (442 nucleotides) under uncultured Christensenellaceae bacterium. RNAcentral's name for it is "bacterial SSU rRNA". It matches the Rfam family "Bacterial small subunit ribosomal RNA", at positions 338 to 795 of the family's 1533-position model. Lineage: Bacteria; Bacillati; Bacillota; Clostridia; Christensenellales; Christensenellaceae. The record is from RNAcentral.